This 298-nucleotide ribosomal RNA is filed under the name Longiperna insperata. RNAcentral describes it as "partial 16S ribosomal RNA". Lineage: Eukaryota; Metazoa; Arthropoda; Arachnida; Opiliones; Gonyleptidae. The record is from RNAcentral.
GCAUAAUCAAUAGUUUUUUAAUUGAAAACUAGAAUGAAGGGUUGAUACUAAGAAGAAGGUUUUAUUUUAUAAUUUUGAAUUUUAAUUAAAAGUAAAAAUGCUUUUGUUAAUCUUUGGGACGAGAAGACCCUAGAAGCUUAAAAAUUUAUGUUAUUUUUAUAUUGGGGUAAUUUUUGAAGAAAAGAAUUUUUAUAAGUAUAGAAAAAUAUUAUAAAAAGUUACUCUAGGGUUAACAGCGUUAUUUAAUUAAUAAGUUCUUAUUGAUAAUUAAGUUUGCGACCUCGAUGUUGAAUUAAUU